Molecule: microRNA precursor, 73 nt
Filed under: Aquilegia coerulea
Lineage: Eukaryota; Viridiplantae; Streptophyta; Magnoliopsida; Ranunculales; Ranunculaceae
Description: Aquilegia caerulea miR477a stem-loop (aqc-MIR477a)
Gene: aqc-MIR477a
Source: miRBase by way of RNAcentral
CUCUCCCUCAAGGGCUUCUACCUUUGCCCAUUUAUUAAGGUCUAAUGGGGGGUGAAGCUCUUCAGGGGGGGGG